GUGACAUCAACUACAUGAUUCAUUGCAACUGAAUAUUUGUCUUAUCAGGAUAAUUAGAAUUGGCUUGAAAGGAUUUUCAUAAGAUUUAGUUUACAAAACAGCAUAUUUCCUAUAAUACUUAGGUCAAACAAAAUGUGUUGUUCUUAGGUUCCAACACUCUGUUAUUAAGUUAUAACAUGUACAACGAUAUUGUCAAGCAAACGAAAAUAAUAUAAUUUAUGCGUUGAAAAAAAUCGUGCACACUAUAAAAUAGAUGACUGCAGUUUGUUGUGCAUUAUUAAGAUGUAUUCCUUACCCCCAAGAAUCAAGAGAAAGCGCAAUAAAGCUUAGAGAUAAAUUAAACAUCUCGUUUACCGUAAUGGACAUUGUAAUUUAUAUGGCAGAUUAUGCAACACAUAAAUUUACAUCAUGAUUUAAUGAAACUAGAAAUGAGAGGAGUGCGUCACAUUGUACAGUUAUACACAUAAUUUAAAACAAUGAAUCUGUUAUCAAGAAUUUUUUUUUUAAUGAAUACUGGCCACAAAAAAAAAAUGUACGGCCGACAAUUUUUUCAGACAAAAAUUUUUGUUCAGUUAACAAAAAUGUCGUCAGCUGU
Daktulosphaira vitifoliae (grape phylloxera) is the source of this 595-nucleotide long non-coding RNA. RefSeq lists it as uncharacterized. The transcript is spliced from 3 exons. Lineage: Eukaryota; Metazoa; Arthropoda; Insecta; Hemiptera; Phylloxeridae. The record is from RefSeq and is a predicted model, not a curated record.